This 51-nucleotide transfer RNA is filed under the name Megaloceros giganteus (Irish elk). RNAcentral's name for it is "tRNA-Phe". The record is from RNAcentral. Lineage: Eukaryota; Metazoa; Chordata; Mammalia; Artiodactyla; Cervidae.
AYAAAGCAAGGCACUGAAAAUGCCUAGAUGAGUGUACUAACUCCAUAAACA